CCUUGUCAUUAGUUGCUACAUUUAGUUGGGCACUCUAGUGAGACUGCCGGUGACAAACCGGAGGAANGUGGGGAUGACGUCAAUUCCUCAUGGCCCUUAUAGGUGGGGCUACACACGUCAUACAAUGGCUGGUACAAAGGGUUGCCAACCCGCGAGGGGGAGCUAAUCCCAUAAAACCAGUCGUAGUCCGGAUCGCAGUCUGCAACUCAACUGCGUGAAGUCGGAAUCGCUNGUAAUCGUGGAUCAGAAUGUCACGGUGAAUACGUUCCCGGGUCUUGUACACACCGCCCGUCACACCAUGGGAGCGGGUUCUGCCANAAAUAUUUAGCCUAACCGCAAAGAGGGCGAUUACCACGGCAGGGUUCGUGACUGGGGUUAA
RNAcentral lists this ribosomal RNA (379 nucleotides) under beta proteobacterium W-2030. RNAcentral describes it as "bacterial SSU rRNA". It matches the Rfam family "Bacterial small subunit ribosomal RNA", at positions 1103 to 1484 of the family's 1533-position model. The record is from RNAcentral. Lineage: Bacteria; Pseudomonadati; Pseudomonadota; Betaproteobacteria.